AUUGAACGCUGGCGGCAGGCCUAACACAUGCAAGUCGAGCGGAGCGGCGGACGGGUGAGUAAUGCCUAGGAAUCUGCCUGGUAGUGGGGGAUAACGUCCGGAAACGGGCGCUAAUACCGCAUACUAUCAGAUGAGUCUAGGUCGGAUUAGCUAGUUGGUGGGGUAAAGGCUUACCAAGGCGACGACCUGUAACUGGUCCGAGAGGAUGAUCAGUCACACUGGAACUGGGGCACGGUCCAGACUCCUGCGGGAGGCAGCAGUGGGGAAUAUUUGGCAAUGGGCGAAAGCCUGAUCCAGCCAUGCCGCGUGUGAUAAGGAGGUCUUCGGAUUGUAAAGCUCUUUAGGUUGGGAGGCGUUACCAACAGAAUAAGCACCGGCUAACUUCGUGCCAGCAGCCGCGGUAAUUC
RNAcentral lists this ribosomal RNA (407 nucleotides) under uncultured bacterium. Its description in RNAcentral is "partial 16S ribosomal RNA". It matches the Rfam family "Bacterial small subunit ribosomal RNA", at positions 30 to 526 of the family's 1533-position model. The record is from RNAcentral.